RNAcentral lists this unclassified non-coding RNA (325 nucleotides) under Melitaea cinxia (Glanville fritillary). Its description in RNAcentral is "misc RNA ENSMCXG00005006485.1". The record is from RNAcentral. Lineage: Eukaryota; Metazoa; Arthropoda; Insecta; Lepidoptera; Nymphalidae.
GUGAAUAGAAACAAAACUGGAAGUUUCAUUAUUUUAUCUCUAGAUUAUCUAUAGCUUAUUAUUGAAGGUUUAUUUCUUCUAUUAAUUACACGGCAAUAUUUUUCCUUUAUGCUGACAACACACAAAUUUACGUAAAGUUUAAUGGUUUAAAGAAAAAAGCCGUUAAAGUGAACGUGUGUGAAUAGUGAUUUUAGACCUUGCGAAAAGUUUUGCUCAAUAUUGAGUUCUUUGAAGAUUUCACCUAGCGAAUUGAUUUAUUUGGAAAGAUACAUUUCUAAUCUUUUAGUAUUACAAAGGUACACUACAUCGUAUUGCGUUCGCCAUG